GACGAACGCUGGCGGCGUGCUUAACACAUGCAAGUCGAACGGAAAGGCCCUGCUUUUGUGGGGUGCUCGAGUGGCGAACGGGUGAGUAACACGUGAGUAACCUGCCCUUGACUUUGGGAUAACUUCAGGAAACUGGGGCUAAUACCGGAUAGGAGCUCCUGCUGCAUGGUGGGGGUUGGAAAGUUUCGGCGGUUGGGGAUGGACUCGCGGCUUAUCAGCUUGUUGGUGGGGUAGUGGCUUACCAAGGCUUUGACGGGUAGCCGGCCUGAGAGGGUGACCGGCCACAUUGGGACUGAGAUACGGCCCAGACUCCUACGGGAGGCAGCAGCGGGGAAUAUUGCACGAUGGGCGGAAGCCUGAUGCAGCAACGCCGCGUGCGGGAUGACGGCCUUCGGGUUGUAAACCGCUUUCGCCUGUGACGAAGCGUGAGUGACGGUAAUGGGUAAAGAAGCACCGGCUAACUACGUGCCAGCAGCCGCGGUGAUACGUAGGGUGCGAGCGUUGUCCGGAUUUAUUGGGCGUAGAGGGCUCGUAGGUGGUUGAUCGCGUCGGAAGUGUAAUCUUGGGGCUUAACCCUGAGCGUGCUUUCGAUACGGGUCGACUUGAGGAAGGUAGGGGAGAAUGGAAUUCCUGGUGGAGCGGUGGAAUGCGCAGAUAUCAGGAGGAACACCAGUGGCGAAGGCGGUUCUCUGGGCCUUUCCUGACGCUGAGGAGCGAAAGCGUGGGGAGCGAACAGGCUUAGAUACCCUGGUAGUCCACGCUGUAAACGGUGGGUACUAGGUGUGGGGUCCAUUCCACGGGUUCCGUGCCGUAGCUAACGCUUUAAGUACCCCGCCUGGGGAGUACGGCCGCAAGGCUAAAACUCAAAGGAAUUGACGGGGCCCCGCACAAGCGGCGGAGCAUGCGGAUUAAUUCGAUGCAACGCGUAGAACCUUACCUGGGUUUGACAUGGAUCGGGAGUGCUCAGAGAUGGGUGUGCCUCUUUUGGGGUCGGUUCACAGGUGGUGCAUGGCUGUCGUCAGCUCGUGUCGUGAGAUGUUGGGUUAAGUCCCGCAACGAGCGCAACCCUUGUUCACUGUUGCCAGCACGUUAUGGUGGGGACUCAGUGGAGACCGCCGGGGUCAACUCGGAGGAAGGUGGGGAUGACGUCAAGUCAUCAUGCCCCUUAUGUCCAGGGCUUCACGCAUGCUACAAUGGCUGGUACAGAGAGUGGCAAGCCUGUGAGGGUGAGCGAAUCUCGGAAAGCCGGUCUCAGUUCGGAUUGGGGUCUGCAACUCGACCUCAUGAAGUCGGAGUCGCUAGUAAUCGCAGAUCACGCAACGCUGCGGUGAAUACGUUCCCGGGGGCU
RNAcentral lists this ribosomal RNA (1348 nucleotides) under uncultured bacterium. RNAcentral's name for it is "partial 16S ribosomal RNA". It matches the Rfam family "Bacterial small subunit ribosomal RNA", at positions 28 to 1382 of the family's 1533-position model. The record is from RNAcentral.